RNAcentral lists this transfer RNA (72 nucleotides) under Cucumis sativus (cucumber). RNAcentral describes it as "tRNA tRNA-Gln". It matches the Rfam family "tRNA". From Rfam's summary of the family: Transfer RNA (tRNA) molecules are approximately 80 nucleotides in length. Lineage: Eukaryota; Viridiplantae; Streptophyta; Magnoliopsida; Cucurbitales; Cucurbitaceae. The record is from Rfam by way of RNAcentral.
GGUUCUAUGGUGUAGUGGUUAGCACUUUGGACUUUGAAUCCAACAACCUGAGUUCGACUCUCGGUAGGACCU